AUUGAACGCUGGCGGCAUGCCUAACACAUGCAAGUCGAACGGUAACAGGCCGCUGGGAUCCCUUCGGGGUGACCUUGGCGCUGACGAGUGGCGGACGGGUGAGUAAUGCGUAGGAAUUUACCUCAAAGCGGGGGAUAGCCCGGAGAAAUCCGGAUUAAUACCGCAUGUGCUCUACGGAGGAAAGCGGGCCUCUUCUUGAAAGCUCGCACUUUGAGAUAAGCCUACGUCGGAUUAGCUUGUUGGUAGGGUAAAAGCCUACCAAGGCGACGAUCCGUAGCUGGUUUGAGAGGAUGAUCAGCCACACUGGGACUGAGACACGGCCCAGACUCCUACGGGAGGCAGCAGUGGGGAAUAUUGGACAAUGGGGGCAACCCUGAUCCAGCAAUACCGCGUGUGUGAAGAAGGCCUGCGGGUUGUAAAGCACUUUCAGUAGGGAAGAAAGGUUGUUGGUUAAUAGCUGACGAAUUUGACGUUACCUACAGAAGAAGCACCGGCUAACUCCGUG
RNAcentral lists this ribosomal RNA (505 nucleotides) under uncultured Gammaproteobacteria bacterium. RNAcentral describes it as "bacterial SSU rRNA". It matches the Rfam family "Bacterial small subunit ribosomal RNA", at positions 30 to 507 of the family's 1533-position model. The record is from RNAcentral. Lineage: Bacteria; Pseudomonadati; Pseudomonadota; Gammaproteobacteria.